GGUUCUAUGGUGUAAUGGUAAGGACUCUGAAUCCAGCGAUCCUAGUUCAAAUCUCGGUAGAACCU
RNAcentral lists this transfer RNA (65 nucleotides) under Lingula anatina. It matches the Rfam family "tRNA". From Rfam's summary of the family: Transfer RNA (tRNA) molecules are approximately 80 nucleotides in length. Their secondary structure includes four short double-helical elements and three loops (D, anti-codon, and T loops). The record is from Rfam by way of RNAcentral. Lineage: Eukaryota; Metazoa; Brachiopoda; Lingulata; Lingulida; Lingulidae.